GCCCGCCUAGCUCAAUCGGAUAGAGCGUCAGACUCUUACUGACUAUGGGCGGAUCUGAAGGCUGCGAGUUCGACCCUCGCGGUGGGCU
This is a non-coding RNA of Armillaria nabsnona, 88 nucleotides long. The record is from the annotation of a GenBank genome assembly. Lineage: Eukaryota; Fungi; Basidiomycota; Agaricomycetes; Agaricales; Physalacriaceae.